Molecule: ribosomal RNA, 512 nt
Filed under: uncultured bacterium
Lineage: Bacteria
Description: bacterial SSU rRNA
Rfam family: Bacterial small subunit ribosomal RNA
Source: RNAcentral
CUACGUGCCAGCAGCCGCGGUAAUACGGAGGAUGCAAGCGUUAUCCGGAUUUAUUGGGUUUAAAGGGUGCGUAGGCCGUUGUACAAGUCAGAGGUGAAAUUGUGGGGCUCAACUCCGCCGCUGCCUUUGAAACUGCAUGACUUGAAUCCUGUUGCCGUGGGAGGAAUGAGUAGUGUAGCGGUGAAAUGCAUAGAUAUUACUCAGAACCCCAAUUGCGAAGGCAUCUCACGAAGCAGGUAUUGACGCUGAGGCACGAAAGCGUGGGUAUCAAACAGGAUUAGAUACCCUGGUAGUCCACGCUGUAAACGAUGAUAACUAACCGCCGGCGAUAUAGUGUCGGUGGCCAAGCGAAAGCGAUAAGUUAUCCACCUGGGGAGUACGACCGCAAGGUUGAAACUCAAAGGAAUUGACGGGGGCCCGCACAAGCGGAGGAACAUGUGGUUUAAUUCGAUGAUACGCGAGGAACCUUACCCGGGCUCGAACGGCAGAGGAAGAGACUCAGAGAKAAGACG